GAUGAACGCUGGCGGCGUGCCUAAUACAUGCAAGUCGAGCGAACGGACGAGAAGCUUGCUUCUCUGAUGUUAGCGGCGGACGGGUGAGUAACACGUGGAUAACCUACCUAUAAGACUGGGAUAACUUCGGGAAACCGGAGCUAAUACCGGAUAAUAUUUUGAACCGCAUGGUUCAAAAGUAAAAGACGGUCUUGCUGUCACUUAUAGAUGGAUCCGCGCUGCAUUAGCUAGUUGGUAAGGUAACGGCUUACCAAGGCAACGAUGCAUAGCCGACCUGAGAGGGUGAUCGGCCACACUGGAACUGAGACACGGUCCAGACUCCUACGGGAGGCAGCAGUAGGGAAUCUUCCGCAAUGGGCGAAAGCCUGACGGAGCAACGCCGCGUGAGUGAUGAAGGUCUUCGGAUCGUAAAACUCUGUUAUUAGGGAAGAACAUAUGUGUAAGUAACUGUGCACAUCUUGACGGUACCUAAUCAGAAAGCCACGGCUAACUACGUGCCAGCAGCCGCGGUAAUACGUAGGUGGCAAGCGUUAUCCGGAAUUUAUGGGCGUAACGCGCGUAGGCGGUUUUUUAAGUCUGAUGUGAAAGCCCACGGCUCAACCGUGGAGGGUCAUUGGAAACUGGAAAACUUGAGUGCAGAAGAGGAAAGUGGAAUUCCAUGUGUAGCGGUGAAAUGCGCAGAGAUAUGGAGGAACACCAGUGGCGAAGGCGACUUUCUGGUCUGUAACUGACGCUGAUGUGCGAAAGCGUGGGGAUCAAACAGGAUUAGAUACCCUGGUAGUCCACGCCGUAAACGAUGAGUGCUAAGUGUUAGGGGGUUUCCGCCCCUUAGUGCUGCAGCUAACGCAUUAAGCACUCCGCCUGGGGAGUACGACCGCAAGGUUGAAACUCAAAGGAAUUGACGGGGACCCGCACAAGCGGUGGAGCAUGUGGUUUAAUUCGAAGCAACGCGAAGAACCUUACCAAAUCUUGACAUCCUUUGACAACUCUAGAGAUAGAGCCUUCCCCUUCGGGGGACAAAGUGACAGGUGGUGCAUGGUUGUCGUCAGCUCGUGUCGUGAGAUGUUGGGUUAAGUCCCGCAACGAGCGCAACCCUUAAGCUUAGUUGCCAUCAUUAAGUUGGGCACUCUAAGUUGACUGCCGGUGACAAACCGGAGGAAGGUGGGGAUGACGUCAAAUCAUCAUGCCCCUUAUGAUUUGGGCUACACACGUGCUACAAUGGACAAUACAAAGGGCAGCGAAACCGCGAGGUCAAGCAAAUCCCAUAAAGUUGUUCUCAGUUCGGAUUGUAGUCUGCAACUCGACUACAUGAAGCUGGAAUCGCUAGUAAUCGUAGAUCAGCAUGCUACGGUGAAUACGUUCCCGGGUCU
Molecule: ribosomal RNA, 1370 nt
Filed under: uncultured bacterium
Lineage: Bacteria
Description: bacterial SSU rRNA
Rfam family: Bacterial small subunit ribosomal RNA
Source: RNAcentral